This 2877-nucleotide long non-coding RNA is filed under the name Homo sapiens (human). Its description in RNAcentral is "HSALNT0038101". The record is from RNAcentral. Lineage: Eukaryota; Metazoa; Chordata; Mammalia; Primates; Hominidae.
CUUCCUGCUCUUUUCCCCUUCCUCCUUCCCGGCUAGGAUGAUACAGCAAGAAGGUCCUCACCAGAUGCAGCCCCCAACCUUGGAUUUCCCAGCCUCCAGAAGACGCCACAUCCCAGGAAAGGAAGAAACAUGCUCCAGGGCUGGAAGUUCGUCUUUGAGGGGAGGAAGUUCCCUGGAGUCUGCAGCAGAUGGGGGAGGCCCCAGUGGGGCGCACGUGGAUGCAUUUCUGGGAGGAAACCAAGUACCAUCCGCUCUCGCUCGCUCCCAUCCAGUGUUUUCUUCCCCCACUGCCAGAUGCCCACUGCCCACCACUGAUCUACUGAGCCAGGGUGUCCUGAGUGAAUAGCACCCUUAAUGGCAGGCACAGCCAUCAAGGGGGCCUGCAGUCAUAAGAUCAUAAAAAUCACAGCAGCAGCAACAACAGCAGCCAUCUUUCAUGGAGCAUCUCCAAGUGUGUGCCACACCCUUUGCAAACACUGCCAAACAACUUGCAGAUGAGAGGAUUCAAGCUAAAUGACAGAGACUGGGUCAGGAAGCUGAGGUCUGAACAUCUCUGGCAGCCCUCUUUCCUCUAAGCCCCUGCAUCCCCUGUCCAUUCUCUGUCCUAGGAGCUGACAUGAGUGUGUCUGGGUUCCUGAUCCAAGGAGUCACUUUAUACACAGUAGACAAAACCCAAAUUGCAAGUGUGAGAUGCAUACAGAAACCAAGGUGAGCCCUAGAGAAAAGCAACCGAGAUCCAAUCAGAGGGGUAAGGGGAGAAGGAGCAGAGCAAUGGGCCUGAAAAGAGGAGCAGUAAGAGCAGGCAUCCCCAGGUCCAAGACUCAGGGUAGGGUCCUUGGGGAAGGUUAGGGCUCCACGAUGCACACCUGUUCAGACAUGUCAUGGAUUUCAAGGCAACUGGGACACCAAAGUGCCAGAAAUGGAGCAAUCACUUGCAGAGCAUGUGAGCACACACACCUUAGGCAGAAGGUGGGGCUUUGCAAUGUUAUAUAUUACACAUGGACCAAGUCCAAUUUUCAAUGCACCAGGGAAAUGCACUUGUUAAAAGGUCUCUAAGAAGAAUAAAGAAAUUUAAGAUGACUAAAUAGGGCGCCAAUUUAAGACGACUAAAUAAGGAGCCACCCCACCUGUCCUGGCCUGCAAGCUCGUGUUCUCCCAAAGCAGGUCUUCCUGAAGUGGGACAGCUGGGCUGACCCUAGCUGAUAUUUUAUCAGCCCACUUCAGUUUCUGAUGAGCAGCGAACCACUGAUUAUUGCCACUGAUGGCUGCUGUGUCCUAUUUGUAGUGGUCUCGGGGGAGGAAGAUCCACAAGCGUCUUCACAAAUUCAUUUCAGCUCCUCUCCUUCUUCCAGGCUGAGGCUUCCCCUCUGCUGCCAAUCUCCCACCACCCCCCUUAAGAUGAACAGGCUGGGUCACUAUCCCCUAUAGUUCCUUUGUAGGCUAGCAAGCCAUAUGAAUUUCAUAAUUCUGCUUUUUCUUCUAACACAGGGCACCCAGGUCUACCUUAUUUUUCCUGAAAAGAGAGAACUACAGGACACAGAGCAAGGCAUUGGGGCAUAGGAAUGGCACAAGUCAGACUCCUGGGAGGGGGUUCCAGCUUUGCCACUUAUCAGUGGGAUCAGCUUGGCCUUGUGACCUGGCUGCUCUGAGCCACAGGUUUCUAAUCUGUAUAAGGUAGACAGGAGUAGCAGUUACAAUGAAGGGUUCUCAGGAUUACAGAAAAUCGUGUGCAGGGCACCUGGCAUGAGGGAGCUAUGACUACUACUGUGUCAGCCCCACAGACACAAAAUAAUCUCUUCCAUAUGGUUAGGUUUAAAUCAGGUUAACAAAUAUCCAUUGUGACCUGCGACACUAAGCCAAAGUACUGUCUGGGAAAUGAGAAUGGAAUAUUAGACAUGCUUUCUGUCUGAAAAAGCUUGUAAGUGAUUUGACAGAGACACCCAAACCCCUCUCAUCACCCCCAGCAUAAACACACACUUCCAUGCCCCUGCAGCAAGAUGGUCAGGCUAGGUUGUUGAAUGGAGGCAAAUUCUCUAGUGGAGUUUUCUUCCCUUUGGUCCUCUGAGCUCUCCAUGAGGUCUGUGGAUUGUGGCCCCCAUAGAUUUAUCUGAAAGAUCAAGCAGAGGUUCCUUACCAGAGAAUAAGAAGUGGAGUGAAGAGCGGGGAGGAGGCCACACUGACAGUAGGAACAAGCCCUACUAUCAACUAGUCACGUUCUCUGCCUUAGUCUCUGUGCUGUAUGUGCAUUCCAAUCAUUUAACUUAAUCCUGAAACAGCACUGCAAAUACUACAGUGGAUGCUGUCCUGCUUCACCCUGAUCCCCCAUCAAGAUUAAAGGACUCAUUUCCCAGCUCUUGGACCUCUCCGAACUACCCUUUAUAAAGAGAGCCAACUCACCCAAGGUCAAGCCCCACAUCCAAUGAGUCGUCAAUAAGGGGCUUUAAAGGCCUGGUCCCCCUCACCCCAAGUCAGUACCACUCUGCAGAGCCAUCCAGCUUCAGGGCUCUGCAUCACCUACGUUGCUGCUCAGUUUCUUCCUCUGUCCAACUCUACUUCCUUCUCUUCCCCAGCAGAUUCUGCUCCCAGAAACACUCCACAAUAAACUUCCUGCACACUUAUUUCCCUAUGAAGAAACAGAGGCUCAGAGAAAUUAAGUAGCUUUCCCUAGGUCAUGCAGCUUUUAAGUGAUAGAGCUGGGCUCAGACCCAUGGUUGUAUGACAAUAAGACUGUUAUUUUCAGUGCACAAGAUGAAAUCCCUCGUUAGGAAUUCAGUGGCUCAAACUCUAAAAUUCCCUGGAAGAAGUAGGAUGCAUACUUCAGACCAGUAAACAUCCAAAUGAGAUAAGUUCUUAUAGUUUAAAACAGAUUAUAACACU